RNAcentral lists this ribosomal RNA (403 nucleotides) under uncultured Hoeflea sp. RNAcentral's name for it is "bacterial SSU rRNA". It matches the Rfam family "Bacterial small subunit ribosomal RNA", at positions 29 to 479 of the family's 1533-position model. The record is from RNAcentral. Lineage: Bacteria; Pseudomonadati; Pseudomonadota; Alphaproteobacteria; Hyphomicrobiales; Rhizobiaceae.
AACGAACGCUGGCGGCAGGCUUAACACAUGCAAGUCGAACGCCCCGCAAGGGGAGUGGCAGACGGGUGAGUAACACGUGGGAAUCUACCUAUCUCUACGGAACAACACAUAGAAAUGUGUGCUAAUACCGUAUACGCCCUUAGGGGGAAAGAUUUAUCGGAGAUAGAUGAGCCCGCGUUUGAUUAGCUAGUUGGUGAGGUAAUGGCUCACCAAGGCGACGAUCAAUAGCUGGUCUGAGAGGAUGAUCAGCCACACUGGGACUGAGACACGGCCCAGACUCCUACGGGAGGCAGCAGUGGGGAAUAUUGGACAAUGGGCGCAAGCCUGAUCCAGCCAUGCCGCGUGUGUGAUGAAGGCCCUAGGGUUGUAAAGCACUUUCAACGGUGAAGAUAAUGACGGUAAC